RNAcentral lists this ribosomal RNA (406 nucleotides) under uncultured bacterium. RNAcentral describes it as "partial 16S ribosomal RNA". It matches the Rfam family "Bacterial small subunit ribosomal RNA", at positions 30 to 526 of the family's 1533-position model. The record is from RNAcentral.
AUUGAACGCUGGCGGCAGGCCUAACACAUGCAAGUCGAACGAGUGGCGGACGGGUGAGUAGUGUCUGGGAAACUGCCUGAUGGAGGGGGAUAACUACUGGAAACGGUAGCUAAUACCGCAUACCAUCGGAUGUGCCCGGAUGGGCUUAGCUAGUAGGUGGGGAAAAGGCUCACCUAGGCGACGAUCCCUAGCUGGUCUGACAGGAUGACCAGCCACAUUGGAACUGAGACACGGUCCAGACUCCUACGGGAGGCAGCAGUGGGGAAUAUUGCACAAUUGGCGAAAGCCUGAUGCAGCCAUGCCGCGUGUAUGAAGAAGGCCUUCGGGUUGUAAAGUACUGUCAGCGGGGAGGCGUUACCCGCAGAAGAAGCACCGGCUAACUCCGUGCCAGCAGCCGCGGUAAUUC